This 497-nucleotide ribosomal RNA is filed under the name uncultured bacterium. RNAcentral's name for it is "partial 16S ribosomal RNA". It matches the Rfam family "Bacterial small subunit ribosomal RNA", at positions 28 to 507 of the family's 1533-position model. The record is from RNAcentral.
GAUGAACGCUGGCGGCGUGCCUAAUACAUGCAAGUCGAGCGAACAGACGAGGAGCUUGCUCCUCUGACGUUAGCGGCGGACGGGUGAGUAACACGUGGAUAACCUACCUAUAAGACUGGGAUAACUUCGGGAAACCGGAGCUAAUACCGGAUAAUAUAUUGAACCGCAUGGUUCAAUAGUGAAAGACGGUUUUGCUGUCACUUAUAGAUGGAUCCGCGCCGCAUUAGCUAGUUGGUAAGGUAACGGCUUACCAAGGCAACGAUGCGUAGCCGACCUGAGAGGGUGAUCGGCGACACUGGAACUGAGACACGGUCCAGAGUCCUACGGGAGGCAGCAGUAGGGAAUCUUCCGCGAUGGGCGAAAGCCUGACGGAGCAACGCCGCGUGAGUGAUGAAGGUCUUCGGAUCGUAAAACUCUGUUAUUAGGGAAGAACAAAUGUGUAAGUAACUAUGCACGUCUUGACGGUACCUAAUCAGAAAGCCACGGCUAACUACGUG